RNAcentral lists this ribosomal RNA (368 nucleotides) under uncultured organism. Its description in RNAcentral is "bacterial SSU rRNA". It matches the Rfam family "Bacterial small subunit ribosomal RNA", at positions 526 to 896 of the family's 1533-position model. The record is from RNAcentral.
CGAAGGAUGCAAGCGUUAUCCGGAUUCAUUGGGUUUAAAGGGAGCGUAGGUGGCCUUAUAAGUCAGCGGUGAAAUCUCUCAGCUUAACUGAGAAAUUGCCAUUGAUACUGUAGGGCUUGAGUACAGAUGCCGUUGGCGGAAUAUGACAUGUAGUGGUGAAAUACAUAGAGAUGUCAUAGAACACCGAUUGCGAAGGCAGCUGACGAAACUGUAACUGACACUGAGGCUCGAAAGUGCGGGGAUCAAACAGGAUUAGAUACCCUGGUAGUCCGCACUGUAAACGAUGAUUACUCGCUGCUGGAGGGCAACCUUCAGUGGCUUAGCAAAAGCGAUAAGUAAUCCACCUGGGGAGUACGCCGGCAACGGUG